UGCACCUGGGCCAGCCAGAAACAGCUCGCCAAGCCAGGGUCCAAAUGGAGUGAGGCAGCAGAGACGAGGGGCCUGGGCAGGAGCUAUCCUGCAAGAGCCUGGAGUCUGCAGGAGGCAGUGGCUGCUCCAGCUGGCUUGACAUUUGGGGCUAAGGAUUUGCCGAGGACCGUUUCACAGAUACAUUUUGUAGAGGCUGCACUGAGCCUCCUGGACUGAAAUGCAGUACAAUACUCUGUGUUGCUUUGAUUUCACCUCUGGUGCAGGCUGCGUGGGCAUGAUUGUAAGGAGCCUGUGUUUUCCCUUGAAGACAAAAGGAAAGAUGAGCCACUGCCUUAUCCACACAUAUCCUCAUUUAAAACCUGCUGCUACCUUUUGAAAAUGUAUUGAGAUGUAUGUUAAUGAUUUUCACAAUCAUCUGUAUUUGUUACUCUUCAGUAAAAUAUUGACAAAUAAACAUAGCAUCACAUUUUACAAAUCA
Molecule: long non-coding RNA, 478 nt
Filed under: Homo sapiens (human)
Lineage: Eukaryota; Metazoa; Chordata; Mammalia; Primates; Hominidae
Description: HSALNT0037173
Source: RNAcentral